This 240-nucleotide ribosomal RNA is filed under the name Aestuariibaculum marinum. RNAcentral's name for it is "Bacterial large subunit ribosomal RNA". It matches the Rfam family "Bacterial large subunit ribosomal RNA", at positions 787 to 1025 of the family's 2925-position model. Lineage: Bacteria; Pseudomonadati; Bacteroidota; Flavobacteriia; Flavobacteriales; Flavobacteriaceae. The record is from Rfam by way of RNAcentral.
CGUUGAAAAGUGCGGGGAUGAGGUGUGGGUAGGGGCGAAAUGCCAAUCGAACACGGAGAUAGCUGGUUCUCCCCGAAAUAGCUUUAGGGCUAGCCUCGCGGCAAGAUUCCUGGAGGUAGAGCACUGAUUGGACUAGGGGCCCCCACAGGGUUACCGAAUUCAGUCAAACUCCGAAUGCCAGAGAAUUAUCCGCGGGAGUCAGACUGCGAGUGAUAAGAUCCGUAGUCAAAAGGGAAACAG